RNAcentral lists this ribosomal RNA (534 nucleotides) under Lachnellula occidentalis. RNAcentral's name for it is "eukaryotic LSU rRNA". It matches the Rfam family "Eukaryotic large subunit ribosomal RNA", at positions 78 to 626 of the family's 3401-position model. The record is from RNAcentral. Lineage: Eukaryota; Fungi; Ascomycota; Leotiomycetes; Helotiales; Lachnaceae.
CCUCAGUAACGGCGAGUGAAGCGGUAACAGCUCAAAUUUGAAAUCUGGCUCUUUUAGGGUCCGAGUUGUAAUUUGUAGAAGAUGCUUUGGGCGUGGCUCCGGUCUAAGUUCCUUGGAACAGGACGUCAUAGAGGGUGAGAAUCCCGUAUGUGACUGGUAGCUUUCGCCCGUGUAAAGCUCUUUCGACGAGUCGAGUUGUUUGGGAAUGCAGCUCAAAAUGGGUGGUAAAUUUCAUCUAAAGCUAAAUAUUGGCCAGAGACCGAUAGCGCACAAGUAGAGUGAUCGAAAGAUGAAAAGCACUUUGGAAAGAGAGUUAAACAGUACGUGAAAUUGUUGAAAGGGAAGCGCUUGCAACCAGACUCGCAGGCCGUCGAUCAUCUAGGGUUCUCCCUGGUGCACUCGGCGGUUUUCGGGCCAGCAUCGGUUUGGGUGGUGGGAUAAAGGCCUUGGGAAUGUAGCUUCUUUCGGGGAGUGUUAUAGCCCUCGGUGCAAUGCCGCCUACCUGGACCGAGGACCGCGCUUCGGCUAGGAUGC